UAGCGAAACCUUACGCGGCUACGAACAUUUUUUGUGUGAUACAAUCUUUUGAUGUUGUGGUGUGCUUUGACGUUUUCGGACAUUUUGAAUGUAUUACGAUGUAUUCGGACAUUUUAAAUAUAUUACGAUGCCGUUACAUAAUACAAAGUUAUAAUAUUACCAUAAGUUAAAACUACAUUAGAGGUAUUAAAUUAAUUGAUAUAUUUAUAAUUUAAUUCUUUAUUUUGAUUUUAAAAUAUUAUUAAUUAGAUUAAACAUAAAAUCAAUUUUUUAUAUUGGGUUACAUGUCGUCAUGGCAUGACGUAAUUUGGUAGCACGCUGUUACGACGUGUUUCUUAAAUGUUACAAACGUACAUAAGUUAUGUCAUACAAAACAGUAUAUAAUAUUUGUUGGUACAAAUGUACUAAAAACUUUGCUUAGAUAUAAGAAACAAUUCGGAAAUCAUCACAUUUACAAAAUCGACUAAAAGCGUUAAAAAGUCUUUAGUUGUAUUAAAUUUUUACGAUAACGAUCACACAUGAACGAUCACACAUGAACGAUCACACAUGAACAAUCACAAGUAUUGCUUGAAGACUCAAUUUCUUAAAGUCAAUAUCUUUGGAGCUUAGAGGCGUUGCGAAUAAAUCAAUAGAGAUAUCCAAACCAGCAUUCCUUUGUUCAUCGUGAGGGAUGCGUAUCAAACCUUUUAGAAACUCGGGACAUCAUGACGGAAGCAACUCACUGCAGACACGCAGUAGACGUCAUUUACACAGACUUUGCAAAGACGCUCGACAAAGUACCACAUAAACGCCUCUUUCAUAAGCUGAGAGCGUACGGUAUUCAAGGCGCUCUCGUUGACUGGAUUGCAGCUUGGCUAAACAAUCGAUGUCAACGAGUGGUUAUAAACAGCAUUACUUCUGAAUGGAAAGCAGUCACUAGUGGAGUGCCUCAAGGCUCGGUUUUGGGGCCAUUGCUAUUCGUAAUCUUUGUAAACGACCUGCCGGACAGAAUUACUCAUCAUGUGAAACUGUUUGCCGACGACAGCAAAAUAAUAGGGAUAAUUAAAAAGGAGUCGGACAGCAUCACUCUCCAAGAUAACGUUGACAGAGCAGUGGAAUGGUCACACAUUUGGCUCUUGCAUUUCAAUGUUGAUAAAUGCAAAGUAAUGCAUGUUGGGCGCGGAUGUAACAAGUCAAAGUACAAAUACUCAAUGUCUAACGUCGACGGCACCCGCCGUCCUCUCGAAAAAACCGCAGUCGAAAGAUAUUUUGGUGUGAUGGUCUAGAAUGAUCUUAAAGUCAGACCGUAAAUAGAGUCAGCCGCAUUAUUAGCAAAUAGAAUGCUAGGGCUCAAAAAAACAUUUCGCAGUCGCAGUUUUUAUUUACGGCGCACUCUGUAUCUCACUUACAUUCUCCCCCAUCUUGAGUUUGUUGUACAAGACUGGUCACUGCAUUUAAAAAUCAGACAUUGCCAUUCUUGAGCAAGUCCAACAACGAGCAACAAAAACAAAAUCGACUAAUAAGAAGCAGUGAACGCUCAGUCCAUCAACGCUUUCAAAAACAACAUAAGAAAGUCACUUUAUAGAUACAACUGCUGCUUUAUCUGUAGCGUCUGUAUCUCCAUGUUCGUCAGCAUAGAGGGACCUGGUGUAGCACCUCUUCAUCAAAUUAUAAAUGGAUUAUUGUAUUUGUAUUUGAUCACUGAAAUAAAUAAAUAACAAAUAA
This is a long non-coding RNA of Hydra vulgaris (swiftwater hydra), 1704 nucleotides long. RefSeq lists it as uncharacterized. Lineage: Eukaryota; Metazoa; Cnidaria; Hydrozoa; Anthoathecata; Hydridae. The record is from RefSeq and is a predicted model, not a curated record.